UAGGGAAUCUUCCGCAAUGGGCGAAAGCCUGACGGAGCAACGCCGCGUGAGUGAUGAAGGUUUUCGGAUCGUAAAGCUCUGUUGCCAGGGAAGAACGUCGGGUAGAGUAACUGCUAUCCGAGUGACGGUACCUGAGAAGAAAGCCCCGGCUAACUACGUG
RNAcentral lists this ribosomal RNA (160 nucleotides) under Bacillus sp. CM3. RNAcentral's name for it is "partial 16S ribosomal RNA". It matches the Rfam family "Bacterial small subunit ribosomal RNA", at positions 355 to 507 of the family's 1533-position model. Lineage: Bacteria; Bacillati; Bacillota; Bacilli; Caryophanales; Bacillaceae. The record is from RNAcentral.